Molecule: ribosomal RNA, 427 nt
Filed under: uncultured Deefgea sp.
Lineage: Bacteria; Pseudomonadati; Pseudomonadota; Betaproteobacteria; Neisseriales; Chitinibacteraceae
Description: bacterial SSU rRNA
Rfam family: Bacterial small subunit ribosomal RNA
Source: RNAcentral
UGGGGAAUCUUGGACAAUGGGCGAAAGCCUGAUCCAGCAAUGCCGCGUGCGUGAAGAAGGCCUUCGGGUUGUAAAGCGCUUUUGUCGGGGAGGAAAUCCUAACUUCUAAUAAAGGUUGGGGAUGACAGUACCCGAAGAAUAAGGACCGGCUAACUACGUGCCAGCAGCCGCGGUAAUACGUAGGGUCCGAGCGUUAAUCGGAAUUACUGGGCGUAAAGCGUCCGCAGGUGGCUUGAUAAGAUAGACGUGAAAUCCCUGGGCUCAACCUAGGAAUUGCGUUUAUGACUGUCUCGCUAGAGUAUGGGAGAGGGGGGUGGAAUUCCACGUGUAGCAGUGAAAUGCGUAGAGAUGUGGAGGAACACCGAUGGCGAAGGCAACCCCCUGGCCUAAUACUGACACUCAUGGACGAAAGCGUGGGGAGCAAACA